This is a long non-coding RNA of Pseudophryne corroboree (corroboree frog), 833 nucleotides long. RefSeq lists it as uncharacterized. NCBI's taxonomy places the organism in Eukaryota, Metazoa, Chordata, Amphibia, Anura, Myobatrachidae. The record is from RefSeq and is a predicted model, not a curated record. The transcript is spliced from 2 exons.
UAUCGUCUUCCACUAGCUACAGUGCCCGGAUGGAACAAGCAGCUCGCUCCACGCCCCCCUAUCGCUAUUGGAUGGGGAGAUGUAUACGCAGCCUCUUUCCACUGCUUCGCUGCCAGGCCAACGGAACAGCGGGGUAAUACGAGGAGGGCGGGUAACUGAAGAUGGCUUCGACAAAAGAGGAGAGAAUUGAGUUUAUUUUGUUGUCUGGAGAACGAAGUUUCCGUGUCAUAGCUGCAGAUUUUAACAACCGGCACCCAGAAAGACCUCCAAUUUCACAUGACACUGUCAGGUGCCUAAUUUCCAAAUUCCGAGAAACUGGGACUGUGGCUUACAAGUCAAAGAGUGGUCGUCCAAAAUGUGCUACUGAUUAGAUAACCUCAAAAAUGGUUUGGUAUCCUUCGUUUAAAACCAACAAUGCCCACACAUUACAUGACUGUCCUUUAUGGAGAAGAGUUCAACCUGUAAUUCCAACAAAAGAAGUGUUGUAACUUUUGAACCAUAACUGCUAUUUCAAAUCUGCAAUAAACUUUUCAGCAAAUUCUGAUGUUUGACGUUUUACAUGACCCCCAUUCCAUUUGAAAAAACGGACUUAGAUUCAAGAUGGGCGAUUUGAAGAUGGCACCCAUGUUCGGUACAUACCAUAAAAGAUAGCCCACUUCACCCAUACCUCACUGGAGUAUUAAGUUUACCCAUUUCCUGCACAGUGAUUGAAACAAAAAGGUGUACUGUAACUUUUGAAUCACCCUGUAGUGUUAAUCAUUUGGAGAAAUUAUGAUAUGUGUUUAGAGCAUUUAAUCCACAGCAGGUUAAUCUGCAAUAAAUCCUAAAAAUCA